UGAGGAAUAUUGGUCAAUGGGCGAGAGCCUGAACCAGCCAAGUAGCGUGCAGGACGACGGCCCUAUGGGUGUAAACUGCUUUUAUGCGGGGAUAACGUGCACCACGUGUGGUGUAUUGCAGGUACCGCAUGAAUAAGGACCGGCUAAUUCCGUGCCAGCAGCCGCGGUAAUACGGAAGGUCCGGGCGUUAUCCGGAUUUAUUGGGUUUAAAGGGUGCGUAGGCUGUUUGUUAAGUCAGGGGUGAAAUACCGCAGCUCAACUGUGGAAUUGCCCUUGAUACUGGCAGGCUUGAAUACUGUUGCCGUGGAAGGAAUGAGUAGUGUAGCGGUGAAAUGCAUAGAUAUUACUCAGAACACCGAUUGCGAAGGCAUCUCACGAAGCAGGCAUUGACGCUGAGGCACGAAAGCGUGGGGAUCAAACAGGAUUAGAUACCCUGGUAGU
This 441-nucleotide ribosomal RNA is filed under the name uncultured Prevotella sp. Its description in RNAcentral is "bacterial SSU rRNA". It matches the Rfam family "Bacterial small subunit ribosomal RNA", at positions 355 to 794 of the family's 1533-position model. The record is from RNAcentral. Lineage: Bacteria; Pseudomonadati; Bacteroidota; Bacteroidia; Bacteroidales; Prevotellaceae.